This 76-nucleotide transfer RNA is filed under the name Candidatus Enterosoma merdigallinarum. Its description in RNAcentral is "tRNA-Val". It matches the Rfam family "tRNA". From Rfam's summary of the family: Transfer RNA (tRNA) molecules are approximately 80 nucleotides in length. Their secondary structure includes four short double-helical elements and three loops (D, anti-codon, and T loops). Further hydrogen bonds mediate the characteristic L-shaped molecular structure. tRNAs have two regions of fundamental functional importance: the anti-codon, which is responsible for specific mRNA codon recognition, and the 3' end, to which the tRNAs corresponding amino acid is attached (by aminoacyl-tRNA synthetases). tRNAs cope with the degeneracy of the genetic code in two manners: having more than one tRNA (with a specific anti-codon) for a particular amino acid; and 'wobble' base-pairing, i.e. permitting non-standard base-pairing at the 3rd anti-codon position. The record is from RNAcentral. Lineage: Bacteria; Bacillati; Bacillota; Bacilli; Caryophanales.
GGAUGCUUAGCUCAGCUGGAAGAGCAUCGCCUUUACACGGCGGAGGUCAGGAGUUCGAGACUCUUAGCAUCCACCA